UUGGCGAAGUCAUUGAUCCUAUGCUGCCUAGAAAAGCCCAGCAGCGAGUUGACAUGGUGCCCGUACCCCAAACCAACACAGGUGGACAGGUAGAGCAUACCAAGGCGAGUGGGAUAACUAUGGUUAAGGAACUCGGCAAAUUGCCUCCGUAACUUCGGGAGAAGGAGGACCCCAGUAGCGUGAUGAGACUUGCUCUCUGAGCGUGAAGGGGUGGCACAAAAUUGAGGGAAGCGACUGUUUACCAAAAACACAGCAGCGUGCUAAGCCGUAAGGCGCUGUAUACGCUGUGACUCCUGCCCGGUGCUGGAAGGUUACGGGGAUGGGUUAGUCCUUCGGGACGAAGCUCUGAACCUAAGCCCCAGUAAACGGCGGCCGUAACUAUAACGGUCCUAAGGUAGCGAAAUUCCUUGUCGGGUAAGUUCCGACCUGCACGAAUGGAGUAACGACUUCCCUACUGUCUCAACCAUAGACCCAGCGAAAUUGAAGUACGAGUAAAGAUGCUCGUUAGCUGCAGAAGGACGGAAAGACCCCGUGGACCUUUACUAUAACUUGAUGUUGUGUUUUGUCAUAUGUUGUGUAGGAUAGGUGGGAGACUUGGAAGCAUGAACGCUAGUCUGUGUGGAGUCAUCGUUGAAACACCACCCUGCAUAUGGUGAGGCUCUAACCUAGACCCGUUAUCCGGGUUGGGGACAGCGUCAGGCGGGUAGUUUAACUGGGGCGGUUGCCUCCUAAAGAGUAACGGAGGCGCCCAAAGGUUCCCUCAGCCUGGUUGGCAAUCAGGCGUUGAGUGCAAUGGCAAAAGGGAGCUUGACUGCGAGACCUACAAGUCGAGCAGGAGCGAAAGCUGGGCAUAGUGAUCCGGCGGUUGCGUGUGGAAGCGCCGUCGCUCAACGGAUAAAAGGUACCCCGGGGAUAACAGGCUAAUCUUGCCCAAGCGUCCAUAGCGACGGCAAGGUUUGGCACCUCGAUGUCGGCUCAUCGCAUCCUGGGGCUGAAGCAGGUCCCAAGGGUUGGGCUGUUCGCCCAUUAAAGCGGUACGCGAGCUGGGUUCAGAACAUCGUGAGACAGUUCGGUCCCUAUCCUCUGCAGCCGGAGGUGAAUUGAGGAAAGCUGUCCCUAGUACGAGAGGACCGGGACGGACGCAGCUCUCGUGUGCCAGUUGUCCUGCCAAGGGCAUGGCUGGUUAGCGACCUGCGGAAAGGAUAACCGCUGAAAGCAUCUAAGCGGGAAGCCUCUUCCAAGAUGAAUUCACCCACAGGGUUAACCUGGUAAGGCCCGUGGUAGACCACCACGUUGAUAGGCCGGAAGUGUAAGCGUGGC
Molecule: ribosomal RNA, 1320 nt
Filed under: metagenome
Description: bacterial LSU rRNA
Rfam family: Bacterial large subunit ribosomal RNA
Source: RNAcentral